CUGCUGCCUCCCGUAGGAGUCUGGGCCGUGUCUCAGUCCCAGUGUGGGGGGCCUUCCUCUCAGAACCCCUACGCAUCGUCGCCACGGUGGGCCGUCACCCCGCCGUCUAGCUAAUGCGCCGCAUGCCCAUCCGCCACCGGAUCGCUCCUUUGGCCACCGGAGGAUGCCCUCCGGUGGCGUCACGGGGUAUUAGGCCGCGUUUCCGCGGGUUAUCCCCCUGUGGCGGCCAGGUUGCAUACGUGUUGCUCACCCGUGCGCCGGUCCG
Molecule: ribosomal RNA, 265 nt
Filed under: uncultured bacterium
Lineage: Bacteria
Description: partial 16S ribosomal RNA
Source: RNAcentral